UGGUUGUUGAUUGAUGUUGCGGCGGCGGAGGACGUCCAAUCAAAUCUACACACUAAUAUCUUCCUGGGCAUCCUAGGACUUAUGUGAAACACACUCUUUAGAUAAGA
This 107-nucleotide small RNA is filed under the name Drosophila erecta. RNAcentral describes it as "GG26911". The record is from RNAcentral. Lineage: Eukaryota; Metazoa; Arthropoda; Insecta; Diptera; Drosophilidae.